RNAcentral lists this non-coding RNA (24 nucleotides) under Mus musculus (house mouse). The record is from RNAcentral. Lineage: Eukaryota; Metazoa; Chordata; Mammalia; Rodentia; Muridae.
UGAAGCUAAGUCCUGUCCAGUGGC